This 823-nucleotide small RNA is filed under the name Pongo abelii (Sumatran orangutan). RNAcentral describes it as "processed transcript". The record is from RNAcentral. Lineage: Eukaryota; Metazoa; Chordata; Mammalia; Primates; Hominidae.
GCGAGGACGGGUGGACGCGUCAGGAGGGUCGUUGGUCCUGUCAGAGCGACCUAGGCCGUCGCCUCCGUGUAGAUCUCCACUUUUGUAACAAAAAGUUGUCGAAAGGCGGCUGUGGCGUCUUUCUACCUUCCACUGACUUUGGCUGCACCGGAUAUUCAUAGGGCGCCGGCGCACGCAGAGGGCGUUGCGCGUGGGACAUUCUGGGGGAUGCGAUAGAUGGAAUUCGGCGCGAAAAGACAUUGGUUUCCCCGGGAGCUCUUUAGUCGUCUAGGAGAUGAAGAGAAAAGAGCAAAGCUUGCAGAGGCUGCAGAGAGAAGACAAAAAGAGGCUGCAUCUCGGGGAAUUUUAGAUGUUCAAUCUGUGCAAGAAAAGAGAAAGAAAAAGGAAAAAAUAGAAAAACAAAUUGCUACAUCUGGGCCCCCACCAGAAGGUGGACUUAGGUGGACAGUUUCAUAAAGCAUAACAUGAGUAGAAGAAUCUACUGCCAAUAACUGUUUAUUAUCUGCAAUCAAGUGGACUUCAUCAAUUUAAUUUCUUCUCUUUGAAUAAAUGAAGAUUCAGACUUUGUAAUAUUAUUGCCCUUAAGUACAAUGCUAAAAAAACUUUGAUUUUCAAGCUUAGAGAAUGGCUAGACUUUUCAUUAAAUACUGAUUUUCCUACAUUUGCUCUUUUGCAGUUAGUGGGUGAUUUGCUAUUUUUCUUAGUAGUUAAAAAAUGGAACUAAAUAGUGAAUAUACAUACACUGCAUGUAAACGUUCUGCAUAUACCUCUAAGAUUAAAAUUCGCACUUUUCAUCCUUUAUAAAAUGAUCUAACUACUUAUA